Molecule: ribosomal RNA, 253 nt
Filed under: uncultured bacterium
Lineage: Bacteria
Description: partial 16S ribosomal RNA
Rfam family: Bacterial small subunit ribosomal RNA
Source: RNAcentral
UACGAAGGGGGCUAGCGUUGCUCGGAAUCACUGGGCGUAAAGGGUGCGUAGGCGGGUCUUUAAGUCAGGGGUGAAAUCCUGGAGCUCAACUCCAAAACUGCCUUUGAUACUGCGGGUCUUGAGUCCGAUAGAGGUGGGUGGAAUUCCUAGUGUAGAGGUGAAAUUCGUAGAUAUUAGGAAGAACACCGGUGGCGAAGGCGGCCCACUGGAUCGGUACUGACGCUGAGGUGCGAAAGCGUGGGGAGCAAACAGG